CUACGGGAGGCAGCAGUUAGGAAUAAUCUACAAUGCACGAAAGUGUGAUAGUUUGAGUCAAAGUGCGCUUCAAUUUGGAGUGCUUUUGUGGAAUGUAAAAAGUUCCACGAAUAAGGACUGGGUAAGACAGGUGCCAGCCGCCGCGGUAAUACCUGCGGUCCAAGUCGCAGCCAUUUUUAUUGGGUCUAAAACACCCGUAGCUUGCUUGGUAAGUUUCUUGUGAAAUUCUAUAUCUUAAAUAUAGAGCGGGCAGGAAGUACUGCCAAGCUAGAGACUGGGAGACGUAAGAAGUACGUUUGAAGUAGCGGUAAAAUGUGUUAAUCUCAAGCGGACUCACAACAGCGAAGGCAUCUUACGAGAACAGUUCUGACAGUAAGGGAUGAAGGCUAGGGGCGCAAAACGGAUUAGAUACCCGAGUAGUC
This 422-nucleotide ribosomal RNA is filed under the name uncultured archaeon. RNAcentral's name for it is "partial 16S ribosomal RNA". It matches the Rfam family "Archaeal small subunit ribosomal RNA", at positions 323 to 746 of the family's 1478-position model. The record is from RNAcentral.